UACAGGGGGGGCAAGCGUUGUUCGGAAUUACUGGGCGUAAAGGGCCAGUAGGCGGCCAACUAAGUCACACGUGAAAUCCCCAGGCUUAACCUGGGAACUGCGUGUGAUACUGGAUGGCUUGAAUUCGGGAGAGGGAUGCAGAAUUCCAGGUGUAGCGGUGAAAUGCGUAGAUAUCUGGAGGAAUACCGGUGGCGAAGGCGGCAUCCUGGACCGACAUUGACGCUGAACGGCGAAAGCUAGGGGAGCGAACGGG
This 253-nucleotide ribosomal RNA is filed under the name uncultured bacterium. RNAcentral describes it as "partial 16S ribosomal RNA". It matches the Rfam family "Bacterial small subunit ribosomal RNA", at positions 524 to 776 of the family's 1533-position model. The record is from RNAcentral.